Molecule: long non-coding RNA, 790 nt
Filed under: Homo sapiens (human)
Lineage: Eukaryota; Metazoa; Chordata; Mammalia; Primates; Hominidae
Description: MAP9 antisense RNA 1
Source: RNAcentral
AUAUUAAAGAGGAAGCACAUCUUUAGUUUCCAGUAACUGGCAUUUGGUUAUGGGGUGGCUGUUUUUCUACGUGGACCAAGCAGGGUCCCAGUUCAAGUUUCUGCUGCCUAUCUGAUAAUCUUGAGGUAUUUAUGAAGGACUCCUUUGAAAGUUCUCUACUGAGUUUCCUUAAGGAAUUGGAAUAUAUUUAAUGACCUCCACCAUCUCUAAGAACAAGCAGCUAUUUCUGUAGAGAAAGAUCAUCUUUGGAUAACAAUACAUGAUUUUAGGCUCUAAAAGUUAAAACGUGUUUGUAACGUUGAUAUUAUGCAGAGGUCUUGACAGAACUUGGCAGUCUCUGAGGCUACAGAGAAGUGUGAAAAAGAGCAUAGAGAUUUCAGAAGGAGGCAGAUUCAGUCAGACGUACUGAAUCCCGUUUGAUCUCAACUCAGGCACACUCCAGAUGGACGUAUUGAACAGCACACUGGAGUUUUUGUCCAGAAGUUUGACUUUAGAAGAUAAGAAAUAACUGAGCGUAUUACAAGCAGGAGUUAGAGGAAGAGACUCAGUACAGAAGAGACAGGAACAAAAGUUCACCUCCAUUCAAUGGGAAAGGAUACAGAUCAAGAGUUCAGGAAAAGUAGGAGAAAGAAGCUCUAUUCCAGAAGCAGUCUGGAGCACAAAGAAUCCCUAAUCACUGACAUUAAGAAAGAAGAAAAAUAUUCCUAGGACGAUCCUGGAGAGCAAAGGUCAUCAGCAGUCACUUGACUUUCCUUGGAUUUCUCAACUGCAGUAGUCACAUGGUCUGCUG